CAGGCCUAACACAUGCAAGUCGAGGGGUAACAUUGGUGCUUGCACCAGAUGACGACCGGCGCACGGGUGCGUAACGCGUAUGCAACCUACCUUAUACAGAGGGAUAGCCCUAAGAAAUUGGGAUUAAUACCUCAUAAUUAUUAUGAUCUGCAUGGAUUGUAAUUUAAAGCUCCGGCGGUAUAAGAUGGGCAUGCGUAGUAUUAGCUAGUUGGUGAGGUAACGGCUCACCAAGGCAGUGAUACUUAGGGGUUCUAAAAGGAAGGUCCCCCACACUGGUACUGAGACACGGACCAGACUCCUACGGGAGGCAGCAGUGAGGAAUAUUGGUCAAUGGACGCAAGUCUGAACCAGCCAUGCCGCGUGCAGGACUACUGCCCUAUGGGUUGUAAACUGCUUUUAUCUACCGUGAAACCCAGAUACGAGUAUUUGGCUGACAGUAGUAAAUGAAUAAGCAUCGGCUAACUCCGUGCCAGCAGCCGCGGUAAUACGGAGGAUGCGAGCGUUAUCCGGAUUUAUUAGGUUUAAAGGGUGCGUAGGCUGUAGAAUAAGUCAGUGGUGAAAUCCCGUAGCUCAACUACGGAACUGCCAUUGAUACUGUUUUACUUGAGUAUAGUUGAGGCAGGCGGAAUG
This 630-nucleotide ribosomal RNA is filed under the name uncultured bacterium. Its description in RNAcentral is "bacterial SSU rRNA". It matches the Rfam family "Bacterial small subunit ribosomal RNA", at positions 43 to 668 of the family's 1533-position model. The record is from RNAcentral.